Long non-coding RNA from Camelus dromedarius (Arabian camel), 1809 nucleotides. RefSeq annotates it as twist family bHLH transcription factor 2. The transcript is spliced from 3 exons. Lineage: Eukaryota; Metazoa; Chordata; Mammalia; Artiodactyla; Camelidae. The record is from RefSeq and is a predicted model, not a curated record.
GGGGCAAGUGGCGCUGGGGCAGUGAGCUCCGUGCCAGCCGCCCGCUGGCACUGUCCAUCCUGGCCGGGUCAGCAGCGGGCAGGGAGGCGGGCCAGAGCAAGCCUGCCCUCAGUGCCCCGCGGUCUCUUCCAAGCCCUUACCCAGAGCGAAGAAAGAAAACCCGUCCAGCUGAGCGGCUGACCCGUCUCAGACUCCCCGGGAGCUGUCACCAGCACCCCUGCUGCUGCCCAUUCAGAGGGCAGGGGAUUGUGACAUCCUUGGUGCCAGGCCUGCGAAGACAGAGUCCAAACUGUUACUCAUCUGGAUGGAAGACUUUCUCAAGUAGUGUUUCCCAGAAGCGGCCCCUGAGAGGUGCAUUUCCUGAGGCCUCCAAUGCCUGAUGUUUCUUCCCCUCUCCUGGGUCUGGGGGUCCUCGGGGUGCAGAGCUCAAGGGAUGCUGUUCUCCACAGAAACUCUGGGCGCCCUGGGGUUGCCAGUGGGCAGGUGGUCUGAGCACACGCGAAGCCACCCCACCUGGUCCUCUUUUGUUUCUUUUUAAGUCUGGAAGCCUGGAGGAGGCUUUCUCUCCUCUUAGAAUCCAGAAUGUUCUUUGUGAUGUGCCUCAGUUGCCUGUCGUGUUGUUUGUCCUUCCCAGAACGUGGCAUUCCCUUUCAUCCGACACUGUCAUCUUCCUUGGGCUGGGGCCGCCACCCUCCCGGAUCUUGCCGGGACCACAUCUGCCCCACCCACCCCGUCCUUUGUCCUUCUGCACAGACGCGGGAGAGCUCCAGGAGUCGGUCUCUGAUUCAGUCACAGCUUCUCAUCGCUGUCUGUUUUGCUCUUUUGCUUCCAUUACUUAAGCAAUUUCGACUUCUUUUCGUGAUGUCCAAGAGCCCUCUUCCUGUUCCCGGCUGCUCCUUCUUUUUCAGAGCUGACUGUUCUUACUUUGUCCGCACACGUUGACCAGGUGACAGGUCCCGCUGUCCGGGAAGUCUGACCCGCCGUCGCUGCGCCGGGUGUGGUGCUCGGCUCUGCUGCCUCCGCUCCGGGGUCCUCAGCUGUCUGACCUGAACCGCCUUUUGUUCUCUGCUCCUAUUUGUGUAUCAGCGACGUUCUGCUGAGACCGUCCGCGGGGCCGAGGAGCAAGUGGAAAGGGGGUGCGUCCAAGCCCGUAACUUCUGGAACCUCCGCAGCCUCCCGGACACCCUGCCAGCUCCCCAGCCGAGCGCUCAGACAAGGGGACGGCGGCAGACCCGGCACCACACAGCCUCCUCCCCCAGCGACGGUCCCCGCAGAGGCGGUGGCACUCAUGGUCCCUCUCGCUGGUGACGUGUUCGUUGGCAUCCUCGCCACUUUUUGCGGGUGGUAACAGACCCAGGCCUGGGCUUUAUUUUUAUAUUUUUUUGAAGGGGAGGGGAUUUAUUCUUUCUGAAAAAUCGCUGAAUUCAUGAGCACAUUUACAAGGAUGUGGAUUUGGGGUUUGUAUCUCCCUCUAAGUGCCUUUUUAAAUGUACGUAUUUUUUUAAAUAAAACAGAAAUGCAUUCCUGUACAAUUCUGUUUAAACUGGACCAAGGCUCUCAGAAAAAGAACCUCGCCCUGCCUGCCCGCCCCCAGCCUCUGCAUGGCUGUUCCCAGUAAGCCUGGAAGCCUUCCCACACCUCUCCUCUCUUUCUUUCUCGUAGUUUGCUUAGCUAACUGUUUUUAAAAAAUAUUUUCUGUUUCAGUGUAUAUGUUGCUUAUUUGUUUUAUUUAUUGAGAUGUUUUUUAACAAGCUCAGUGACUGCAGUGUGGCUGUGUACACCGCUCCCCUCCAGGAACAAUAAAGUCGU